This 785-nucleotide ribosomal RNA is filed under the name uncultured marine bacterium. RNAcentral describes it as "bacterial SSU rRNA". It matches the Rfam family "Bacterial small subunit ribosomal RNA", at positions 14 to 794 of the family's 1533-position model. The record is from RNAcentral.
UGAUCCUGGCUCAGGAUGAACGCUAGCGGCAGGCCUAACACAUGCAAGUCGAGGGGCAGCGGGAGUGCUUGCACUCGCCGGCGACCGGCGCACGGGUGCGGAACGCGUAUGGAAUCUACCUCUUUCUGGGGAAUAGCCCAUGGAAACGUGGAUUAAUACCCCAUAGUAUGCAGAGAUCGCAUGAUCUCUGUCUUAAAGCUUUGGCGGAAAGAGAUGACCAUGCGUAUCAUUAGCUAGUAGGUGAGGUAACGGCUCACCUAGGCAACGAUGAUUAGGGGUCCUGAGAGGGAGAUCCCCCACACUGGUACUGAGACACGGACCAGACUCCUACGGGAGGCAGCAGUGAGGAAUAUUGGACAAUGGUCGAAAGACUGAUCCAGCCAUGCCGCGUGCAGGAUGAAUGCCCUAUGGGUUGUAAACUGCUUUUAUACGGGAAGAACACCACCCACGUGUGGGUGACUGACGGUACCGUAAGAAUAAGGACCGGCUAACUCCGUGCCAGCAGCCGCGGUAAUACGGAGGGUCCAAGCGUUAUCCGGAAUCAUUGGGUUUAAAGGGUCCGUAGGCGGGCUAUUAAGUCAGAGGUGAAAGUUUGCAGCUCAACUGUAAAAUUGCCUUUGAUACUGGUAGUCUUGAGUUAUAGUGAAGUGGUUAGAAUAUGUGGUGUAGCGGUGAAAUGCAUAGAUAUCACAUAGAAUACCAAUUGCGAAGGCAGAUCACUAACUAUAUACUGACGCUGAUGGACGAAAGCGUGGGGAGCGAACGGGAUUAGAUACCCCGGUAGU